RNAcentral lists this ribosomal RNA (1443 nucleotides) under uncultured organism. Its description in RNAcentral is "partial small subunit ribosomal RNA". It matches the Rfam family "Bacterial small subunit ribosomal RNA". The record is from RNAcentral.
GGCGUGCUUAACACAUGCAAGUCGAACGGAAAGGCCCUGCUUUUGUGGGGUGCUCGAGUGGCGAACGGGUGAGUAACACGUGAGUAACCUGCCCUUGACUUUGGGAUAACUUCAGGAAACUGGGGCUAAUACCGGAUAGGAGCUCCUGCUGCAUGGUGGGGGUUGGAAAGUUUCGGCGGUUGGGGAUGGACUCGCGGCUUAUCAGCUUGUUGGUGGGGUAGUGGCUUACCAAGGCUUUGACGGGUAGCCGGCCUGAGAGGGUGACCGGCCACAUUGGGACUGAGAUACGGCCCAGACUCCUACGGGAGGCAGCAGUGGGGAAUAUUGCACAAUGGGCGGAAGCCUGAUGCAGCAACGCCGCGUGCGGGAUGACGGCCUUCGGGUUGUAAACCGCUUUCGCCUGUGACGAAGCGUGAGUGACGGUAAUGGGUAAAGAAGCACCGGCUAACUACGUGCCAGCAGCCGCGGUGAUACGUAGGGUGCGAGCGUUGUCCGGAUUUAUUGGGCGUAAAGGGCUCGUAGGUGGUUGAUCGCGUCGGAAGUGUAAUCUUGGGGCUUAACCCUGAGCGUGCUUUCGAUACGGGUUGACUUGAGGAAGGUAGGGGAGAAUGGAAUUCCUGGUGGAGCGGUGGAAUGCGCAGAUAUCAGGAGGAACACCAGUGGCGAAGGCGGUUCUCUGGGCCUUUCCUGACGCUGAGAAGCGAAAGCGUGGGGAGCGAACAGGCUUAGAUACCCUGGUAGUCCACGCUGUAAACGGUGGGUACUAGGUGUGGGGUCCAUUCCACGGGUUCCGUGCCGUAGCUAACGCUUUAAGUACCCCGCCUGGGGAGUACGGCCGCAAGGCUAAAACUCAAAGGAAUUGACGGGGCCCCGCACAAGCGGCGGAGCAUGCGGAUUAAUUCGAUGCAACGCGUAGAACCUUACCUGGGUUUGACAUGGAUCGGGAGUGCUCAGAGAUGGGUGUGCCUCUUUUGGGGUCGGUUCACAGGUGGUGCAUGGCUGUCGUCAGCUCGUGUCGUGAGGUGUUGGGUUAAGUCCCGCAACGAGCGCAACCCUUGUUCACUGUUGCCAGCACGUUAUGGUGGGGACUCAGUGGAGACCGCCGGGGUCAACUCGGAGGAAGGUGGGGAUGACGUCAAGUCAUCAUGCCCCUUAUGUCCAGGGCUUCACGCAUGCUACAAUGGCUGGUACAGAGAGUGGCGAGCCUGUGAGGGUGAGCGAAUCUCGGAAAGCCGGUCUCAGUUCGGAUUGGGGUCUGCAACUCGACCUCAUGAAGUCGGAGUCGCUAGUAAUCGCAGAUCAGCAACGCUGCGGUGAAUACGUUCCCGGGGCUUGUACACACCGCCCGUCAAGUCAUGGAAGUUGGUAACACCCGAAGCCGGUGGCCUAACCGUUGUGGGGGAGCCGUCGAAGGUGGGACUGGUGAUUAGGACUAAGUCAUAA